UACAUAGGGGGCAAGCGUUGUCCGGAUUUAUUGGGCGUAAAGCGCUCGCAGGUGGUUCAUUGCGUCGUGCGUGAAAGACCCCGGCUCAACUGGGGAGGGUCGUGCGAAACGGGUGAACUAGAGGCCAGUAGGGGGAUGCGGAAUUCCGGGUGUAGUGGUGGAAUGCGUAGAGAUCCGGAGGAACACCAGCGGCGAAGGCGGCAUCCUGGACUGGUCCUGACACUCAGGAGCGAAAGCGUGGGGAGCAAACAGG
RNAcentral lists this ribosomal RNA (253 nucleotides) under uncultured bacterium. Its description in RNAcentral is "partial 16S ribosomal RNA". It matches the Rfam family "Bacterial small subunit ribosomal RNA", at positions 524 to 776 of the family's 1533-position model. The record is from RNAcentral.